Bos taurus (domestic cattle) is the source of this 1269-nucleotide long non-coding RNA. NCBI's taxonomy places the organism in Eukaryota, Metazoa, Chordata, Mammalia, Artiodactyla, Bovidae. The record is from Ensembl.
AACAUUUCAGUGAGAGGUGGCAGGCUGGUGAGCCUGUGGGAAACAGGUAAAGUUCAGGUCAAAGAUACACUGAAAGCUCAUUAUCCAAGCAAAUAUUGCAGUGGUUUUGGAGAGAAGUCUGACCAGGGACUAGUAAAUUUUUUAAUGAAAGAAGCAAAAUUUCCUGAAGGAAGAUUCAAAAACACAGAUCUCUACUUCUUGUUUAAUGUAGAACUUCCAAGCCAGAGAAUCAGGCCUUGCUAGGCCUGCCAUGAUAAUUACGCAAAGGCAGAGAGAGGCACAGCUCACAGGCUCCUGCUUUAUUCUCGUUAGUUGGUACUACCUGACACUGGGUUUGAGCAGUCACAUUCUGGACUUUCUGACUUGAAGUGUGGUGUGAUAGAAGUAGAUUGAAAUAUACCAGAAGGUUGGCUUCCCCUGGAAGAAACACCGUUGACAACCAUUAGAUUGUGAACUUCCCAUCCUAAUCCCUGAUUCUCAGCAACAAACUACUAAACAUGUGAACUACUGGGAUACUCAUUUAACCAUAAAGGACUCAAGAAAGAAAAGAAUCUCCAUUCUGUCUUUGGCCAGCUUUCCAUUGUGAGUCAAUAUGUGGUGAUUCUGCUUGUGGAGUUGAGCAAACUUCACCAACCUCAUGGAAUCCUGAAGCCCUCUGGGAGAUGAUUCACAUCAAGUUCCCAACCAGUGAUUCUGCUGCUGCUGCUGCUAAGUUGCUUCAGUCAUGUCGGACUCUGUGCAACCUCAUAGACGGCAGCCUGCCAGGCUCCCCCAUCUCUGGGAUUCUCCAGGCAAGAACACUGGAGUGGGUUGCCAUUUCCUUCUUCAGUGCAUGAAAGUGAAAAGUGAAAAUGAAGCCGCUCAUUUGUGUCUGACUCUAAGUGACCCCGUGGACUGCAGCCUACCAGGCUCCUCCCCUGGGAUUUUCCAGGCAAGAAUACUGGAGUGGGUUGCCAUUGCCUUCUCCAACCAAUGAUUCUAGAGCAGGCUAUAUAAAUUUUCUGUCAUUUUGCUAUUCAAACUAAAUGUGUUUACUUGUUUUAAGACCUCUCAAAACUAAUUUCAUUGUAGUAUUUUCAAUGCAGUAUCCAGCAUAGCAUGGUGGUUCAGAGCAUGAGAUUUGGGACCCAGGACAUGAACUGUCAUCUCUAUGGAUAUCCUGUCAGCUUUGAGAUCUUAGGCAAGUUACUUCAUCUUUUUUGAGCCUCAGUUUUCUCAUUUAUAUAAUGAGAAUACAUUCUAAUUCAAAGAAUGUUACAAAGUUAAGUG